GCGGUGGUAGCUCAGUUGGUAGAGCAUCAGCCUUCCAAGCUGAGGGUCGCGGGUUCGAGCCCCGUCCGCCGCU
Molecule: transfer RNA, 73 nt
Filed under: Fidelibacterota bacterium
Lineage: Bacteria; Pseudomonadati; Fidelibacterota
Description: tRNA-Gly
Rfam family: tRNA
About the family: Transfer RNA (tRNA) molecules are approximately 80 nucleotides in length.
Source: RNAcentral